Anoplopoma fimbria (sablefish) is the source of this 754-nucleotide long non-coding RNA. RefSeq lists it as uncharacterized. The record is from RefSeq and is a predicted model, not a curated record. Lineage: Eukaryota; Metazoa; Chordata; Actinopteri; Perciformes; Anoplopomatidae. The transcript has 3 exons.
GCAUCGCUCUACACAGCAGCACAAGUCAGUAUCGAUCGCAACUUCUUUAGCACGAUUGGUCUUAAUGUGAGACCAGAUAGAGACAGAAAAGUUUGAGUGAGAAAAUAAAGAGAUGGAGAUGGAUGACAUGAUGAAGAAAGUCAACCAAAAUGUGUAAUCCUGGGGAAGAGGCUGAUUCAGCACCUUGGACAGCAGCUAUGGCCUUGCAUGAUUCUUCUUCCUCUACUUCAACAUGAGCCAUUAUCCUUGGCAGCUGGUGUGAGCUGCAGCCACUUACGGACCCAGAAAAGAGCGCUUCCAGUUUUCCCAGCCUUCAUGGCCUUUGACACAUCCUUUAUUAAAUCCCUUUGAGCAUUUAAAACGCGGACCUGAAUGCAGAGCUGGAGGACCGACCUGAGAAUGCAAUAAACCUGCGAGGACUGCUCCUUUCUUUUUUGGAACGGCUGCAUGCUUGGAAAUGAAUCCAGGAGCAAAGGCAAGAUGUGAAAUAUUUAUUUUCUGCACAAACUGUGCAUCACUGGGCCUAACCUGUGAAACUGCUGCAACGGAAAAGUUUGCAGAUCCAAUGGGGAGUUUGUGUGGUCCCCCUGGGACCAGACCCCAGUAGCUUGGGGUUUGUGCUGGAUGAAUGGGAGUUACUACAGCUAACAGCUUACUGAAGGUCCAUGUCCUGGACUCCUGGCCAUCCAGUCCCCUGGAGGCAGGGAGGACUAAACAAACAUACAAGUGGUUUUCUCGUUUCUGUCACUUUAGA